This 302-nucleotide long non-coding RNA is filed under the name Eutrema salsugineum. RNAcentral describes it as "long non-coding RNA (ESAL_LNC000282)". The record is from RNAcentral. Lineage: Eukaryota; Viridiplantae; Streptophyta; Magnoliopsida; Brassicales; Brassicaceae.
ACGAAAGCCGACCUUCGCUCGUCGCACCGCCGAAUCCAACAACCACAGAUUCGUUCACAUCUUUCUCCGUCUCAGUGCUCAUCACCACCACCGAACCUUCCUCGUGGUCCGUACGAUCUCGGCUCUGAACAGGAAUCACAUCUAUUUCAUCAUGGAUCAACGCGCGCGAAACAAAGUCUCUCUGUUUGUUUCUCAGGAAAAUUUGGGAGCGGUGAGGUUUCAGGGACGGUUUCGAGAGAGAGAGGAAGCUACGUGGAGAGAUUGAAGUGUGGAGUGAAGAAGCAGCCAUGGCGGAGAGAAGA